This 253-nucleotide ribosomal RNA is filed under the name uncultured bacterium. RNAcentral's name for it is "partial 16S ribosomal RNA". It matches the Rfam family "Bacterial small subunit ribosomal RNA", at positions 524 to 776 of the family's 1533-position model. The record is from RNAcentral.
GACGUAGGGUGCGAGCGUUGUCCGGAUUUAUUGGGCGUAAAGAGCUCGUAGGCGGCUCGUCGCGUCGACCGUGAAAACCCGCGGCUUAACUGCGGGCUUGCGGUUGAUACGGGCGGGCUAGAGUUCGGUAGGGGAGACUGGAAUUCCUGGUGUAGCGGUGAAAUGCGCAGAUAUCAGGAGGAACACCGGUGGCGAAGGCGGGUCUCUGGGCCGAUGCUGACGCUGAUGCGCGAAAGCGUGGGGAGCGAUCCGG